This 599-nucleotide ribosomal RNA is filed under the name Salinicola salarius. RNAcentral describes it as "bacterial SSU rRNA". It matches the Rfam family "Bacterial small subunit ribosomal RNA", at positions 83 to 678 of the family's 1533-position model. Lineage: Bacteria; Pseudomonadati; Pseudomonadota; Gammaproteobacteria; Oceanospirillales; Halomonadaceae. The record is from RNAcentral.
CCCUGGUGGCGAGCGGCGGACGGGUGAGUAAUGCAUAGGAAUCUGCCCGGUAGUGGGGGAUAACGUGGGGAAACCCACGCUAAUACCGCAUACGUCCUACGGGAGAAAGCAGGGGAUCUUCGGACCUUGCGCUAUCGGAUGAGCCUAUGUCGGAUUAGCUAGUUGGUAAGGUAACGGCUUACCAAGGCAACGAUCCGUAGCUGGUCUGAGAGGAUGAUCAGCCACACUGGGACUGAGACACGGCCCAGACUCCUACGGGAGGCAGCAGUGGGGAAUAUUGGACAAUGGGCGAAAGCCUGAUCCAGCCAUGCCGCGUGUGUGAAGAAGGCUUUCGGGUUGUAAAGCACUUUCAGCGAGGAAGAAAGCCUCUGGGUUAAUACUUCAGAGGAAGGACAUCACUCGCAGAAGAAGCACCGGCUAACUCCGUGCCAGCAGCCGCGGUAAUACGGAGGGUGCGAGCGUUAAUCGGAAUUACUGGGCGUAAAGCGCGCGUAGGUGGCUUGGCACGCCGGUUGUGAAAGCCCCGGGCUCAACCUGGGAACGGCAUCCGGAACGGCCAGGCUAGAGUGCAGGAGAGGAAGGUAGAAUUCCCGGUGUAG